This 468-nucleotide ribosomal RNA is filed under the name uncultured bacterium. Its description in RNAcentral is "bacterial SSU rRNA". It matches the Rfam family "Bacterial small subunit ribosomal RNA", at positions 329 to 793 of the family's 1533-position model. The record is from RNAcentral.
CUCCAGACUCCUACGGGAGGCAGCAGUGAGGAAUAUUGGUCAAUGGGCGAGAGCCUGAACCAGCCAAGUCGCGUGAAGGAUGACGGCCCUACGGGUUGUAAACUUCUUUUGUCAGGGAGCAAUUGGGUCCACGCGUGGGCUUAGCGAGAGUACCUGAAGAAAAAGCAUCGGCUAACUACGUGCCAGCAGCCGCGGUAAUACGUAGGGGGCGAGCGUUAUCCGGAUUUACUGGGUGUAAAGGGAGCGUAGACGGUUAAUCAAGUCUGAAGUGAAAGCCCGCGGCUCAACUGCGGAACGGCUUUGGAAACUGAGUAACUGGAGUGCUGGAGGGGCAGGCGGAAUUCCUGGUGUAGCGGUGAAAUGCGUAGAUAUCAGGAGGAACACCGGUGGCGAAGGCGGCCUGCUGGACAGUAACUGACGUUGAGGCUCGAAAGCGUGGGGAGCAAACAGGAUUAGAUACCCCAGUAU